GCUGAUGCGUUGUUGGGUAGGGGAGCGUUCUGUAAGCCUGUGAAGGUGGCCUGUGAGGGUUGCUGGAGGUAUCAGAAGUGCGAAUGCUGACAUAAGUAACGAUAAAGCGGGUGAAAAGCCCGCUCGCCGGAAGACCAAGGGUUCCUGUCCAACGUUAAUCGGGGCAGGGUGAGUCGACCCCUAAGGCGAGGCCGAAAGGCGUAGUCGAUGGGAAACAGGUUAAUAUUCCUGUACUUGGUGUUACUGCGAAGGGGGGACGGAGAAGGCUAUGUUGGCCGGGCGACGGUUGUCCCGGUUUAAGCGUGUAGGCUGGUUUUCCAGGCAAAUCCGGAAAAUCAAGGCUGAGGCGUGACGACGAGGCACUACGGUGCUGAAGCAACAAAUGCCCUGCUUCCAGGAAAAGCCUCUAAGCAUCAGGUAACAUCAAAUCGUACCCCAAACCGACACAGGUGGUCAGGUAGAGAAUACCAAGGCGCUUGAGAGAACUCGGGUGAAGGAACUAGGCAAAAUGGUGCCGUAACUUCGGGAGAAGGCACGCUGACACGUAGGUGAAGUGAUUUACUCAUGGAGCUGAAGUCAGUCGAAGAUACCAGCUGGCUGCAACUGUUUAUUAAAAACACAGCACUGUGCAAACACGAAAGUGGACGUAUACGGUGUGACGCCUGCCCGGUGCCGGAAGGUUAAUUGAUGGGGUCAGCGCAAGCGAAGCUCCUGAUCGAAGCCCCGGUAAACGGCGGCCGUAACUAUAACGGUCCUAAGGUAGCGAAAUUCCUUGUCGGGUAAGUUCCGACCUGCACGAAUGGCGUAAUGAUGGCCAGGCUGUCUCCACCCGAGACUCAGUGAAAUUGAACUCGCUGUGAAGAUGCAGUGUACCCGCGGCAAGACGGAAAGACCCCGUGAACCUUUACUAUAGCUUGACACUGAACAUUGAGCCUUGAUGUGUAGGAUAGGUGGGAGGCUUUGAAGUGUGGACGCCAGUCUGCAUGGAGCCGACCUUGAAAUACCACCCUUUAAUGUUUGAUGUUCUAACGUGGACCCGUGAUCCGGGUUGCGGACAGUGUCUGGUGGGUAGUUUGACUGGGGCGGUCUCCUCCUAAAGAGUAACGGAGGAGCACGAAGGUUGGCUAAUCCUGGUCGGACAUCAGGAGGUUAGUGCAAUGGCAUAAGCCAGCUUGACUGCGAGCGUGACGGCGCGAGCAGGUGCGAAAGCAGGUCAUAGUGAUCCGGUGGUUCUGAAUGGAAGGGCCAUCGCUCAACGGAUAAAAGGUACUCCGGGGAUAACAGGCUGAUACCGCCCAAGAGUUCAUAUCGACGGCGGUGUUUGGCACCUCGAUGUCGGCUCAUCACAUCCUGGGGCUGAAGUAGGUCCCAAGGGUAUGGCUGUUCGCCAUUUAAAGUGGUACGCGAGCUGGGUUUAGAACGUCGUGAGACAGUUCGGUCCCUAUCUGCCGUGGGCGCUGGAGAACUGAGGGGGGCUGCUCCUAGUACGAGAGGACCGGAGUGGACGCAUCACUGGUGUUCGGGUUGUCAUGCCAAUGGCACUGCCCGGUAGCUAAAUGCGGAAGAGAUAAGUGCUGAAAGCAUCUAAGCACGAAACUUGCCCCGA
This 1606-nucleotide ribosomal RNA is filed under the name Salmonella enterica subsp. enterica serovar Alachua. Its description in RNAcentral is "partial 23S ribosomal RNA". It matches the Rfam family "Bacterial large subunit ribosomal RNA", at positions 1213 to 2802 of the family's 2925-position model. The record is from RNAcentral. Lineage: Bacteria; Pseudomonadati; Pseudomonadota; Gammaproteobacteria; Enterobacterales; Enterobacteriaceae.